RNAcentral lists this ribosomal RNA (468 nucleotides) under uncultured bacterium. Its description in RNAcentral is "partial 16S ribosomal RNA". It matches the Rfam family "Bacterial small subunit ribosomal RNA", at positions 28 to 507 of the family's 1533-position model. The record is from RNAcentral.
GACGAACGCUGGUGGCGUGCUUAACACAUGCAAGUCGAACGGAAAGGCCCUGCUUUUGUGGGGUGCUCGAGUGGCGAACGGGUGAGUAACACGUGAGUAACCUGCCCUUGACUUUGGGAUAACUUCAGGAAACUGGGGCUAAUACCGGAUAGGAGCUCCUGCUGCAUGGUGGGGGUUGGAAAGUUUCGGCGGUUGGGGAUGGACUCGCGGCUUAUCAGCUUGUUGGUGGGGUAGUGGCUUACCAAGGCUUUGACGGGUAGCCGGCCUGAGAGGGUGACCGGCCACAUUGGGACUGAGCUACGGCCCAGACUCCUACGGGAGGCAGCAGUGGGGAAUAUUGCACAAUGGGCGGAAGCCUGAUGCAGCAACGCCGCGUGCGGGAUGACGGCCUUCGGGUUGUAAACCGCUUUCGCCUGUGACGAAGCGUGAGUGACGGUAAUGGGUAAAGAAGCACCGGCUAACUACGUG